UGGGGAAUAUUGCACAAUGGAGGAAACUCUGAUGCAGCAACGCCGCGUGGAGGAUGACACAUUUCGGUGCGUAAACUCCUUUUAUAUGGGAAGAUAAUGACGGUACCAUAUGAAUAAGCACCGGCUAACUCCGUGCCAGCAGCCGCGGUAAUACGGAGGGUGCAAGCGUUACUCGGAAUCACUGGGCGUAAAGCGCGCGCAGGCGGGCUGAUAAGUUGGAUGUGAAAGCCUACGGCUUAACCGUAGAACUGCAUCCAAAACUGUCAGUCUAGAGUCUGGGAGGGGAAGAUGGAAUUAGUUGUGUAGGGGUAAAAUCCGUAGAGAUAACUAGGAAUACCAAAAGCGAAGGCGAUCUUCUGGAACAGUACUGACGCUGAGGCGCGAAAGCGUGGGGAGCAAACA
This 402-nucleotide ribosomal RNA is filed under the name uncultured Campylobacterota bacterium. RNAcentral describes it as "bacterial SSU rRNA". It matches the Rfam family "Bacterial small subunit ribosomal RNA", at positions 355 to 774 of the family's 1533-position model. The record is from RNAcentral. Lineage: Bacteria; Pseudomonadati; Campylobacterota.